This 810-nucleotide ribosomal RNA is filed under the name Pseudonocardia alni subsp. carboxydivorans. RNAcentral describes it as "bacterial SSU rRNA". It matches the Rfam family "Bacterial small subunit ribosomal RNA", at positions 103 to 925 of the family's 1533-position model. The record is from RNAcentral. Lineage: Bacteria; Bacillati; Actinomycetota; Actinomycetes; Pseudonocardiales; Pseudonocardiaceae.
CGGGUGAGUAACACGUGGGUGACCUGCCCUCCACUCUGGGAUAAGCCCGGGAAACUGGGUCUAAUACCGGAUAGGACCACUGAUCGCAUGGUUGGUGGUGGAAAGUUUUUUCGGUGGGGGAUGGGCCCGCGGCCUAUCAGCUUGUUGGUGGGGUGAUGGCCUACCAAGGCGGUGACGGGUAGCCGGCCUGAGAGGGCGACCGGCCACACUGGGACUGAGACACGGCCCAGACUCCUACGGGAGGCAGCAGUGGGGAAUAUUGCGCAAUGGGCGGAAGCCUGACGCAGCGACGCCGCGUGGGGGAUGACGGCCUUCGGGUUGUAAACCUCUUUCGCCAGGGACGAAGAGCAAUUGACGGUACCUGGAGAAGAAGCACCGGCCAACUACGUGCCAGCAGCCGCGGUAACACGUAGGGUGCGAGCGUUGUCCGGAAUUAUUGGGCGUAAAGAGCUCGUAGGCGGUGUGUCGCGUCGGCCGUGAAAACUUGGGGCUUAACUCUGAGCGUGCGGUCGAUACGGGCAUCACUUGAGUUCGGCAGGGGAGACUGGAAUUCCUGGUGUAGCGGUGAAAUGCGCAGAUAUCAGGAGGAACACCGGUGGCGAAGGCGGGUCUCUGGGCCGAUACUGACGCUGAGGAGCGAAAGCGUGGGGAGCGAACAGGAUUAGAUACCCUGGUAGUCCACGCCGUAAACGUUGGGCGCUAGGUGUGGGGACCAUUCCACGGUUUCUGUGCCGCAGCUAACGCAUUAAGCGCCCCGCCUGGGGAGUACGGCCGCAAGGCUAAAACUCAAAGGAAUUGACGGGGCCCGCA